CCCUUAGAUGUUCUGGGCUGCACGCGCGCUACACUGAAGCUAUCAACACGUUUUCCCUCCCUGAGAAGGGCGGGUAACCUUUUGAAUCAGCUUCGUGGUAGGGAUCGGGGCUUGCAAUUGUUCCCCGUGAACCAGGAAUUCCUAGUAGACGCGAGUCAUAAGCUCGCAUCGAUUAAGUCCCUGCCCUUUGUACACACCGCCCGUCGCUACUACCGAUUGAACGUUUUAGUGAGGCAUUUGGACCGACGCAUCUCAGUUUAACCGCUGGUUUGUGUUGGAAAGACUUCCAAACUUGAGCGUUUAGAGGAAGUAAAAGGCGGAACA
This 324-nucleotide ribosomal RNA is filed under the name uncultured eukaryote. RNAcentral's name for it is "partial 18S ribosomal RNA". It matches the Rfam family "Eukaryotic small subunit ribosomal RNA", at positions 1470 to 1796 of the family's 1831-position model. The record is from RNAcentral.